UACUGCUCCGCCGACAGGUCAGGCCCCA
This 28-nucleotide small RNA is filed under the name Bombyx mori (domestic silkworm). Its description in RNAcentral is "ovarian small RNA-21510". Lineage: Eukaryota; Metazoa; Arthropoda; Insecta; Lepidoptera; Bombycidae. The record is from RNAcentral.